CGGGAACUCAAAGGAGACUGCCAGUGAUAAACUGGAGGAAGGUGGGGAUGACGUCAAGUCAUCAUGGCCCUUACGACCAGGGCUACACACGUGCUACAAUGGCGCAUACAAAGAGAAGCGACCUCGCGAGAGCAAGCGGACCUCAUAAAGUGCGUCGUAGUCCGGAUUGGAGUCUGCAACUCGACUCCAUGAAGUCGGAAUCGCUAGUAAUCGUGGAUCAGAAUGCCACGGUGAAUACGUUCCCGGGCCUUGUACACACC
RNAcentral lists this ribosomal RNA (260 nucleotides) under Escherichia coli. RNAcentral's name for it is "partial 16S ribosomal RNA". It matches the Rfam family "Bacterial small subunit ribosomal RNA", at positions 1132 to 1391 of the family's 1533-position model. The record is from RNAcentral. Lineage: Bacteria; Pseudomonadati; Pseudomonadota; Gammaproteobacteria; Enterobacterales; Enterobacteriaceae.